GAUGAAGAACGUAGCGAAAUGCGAUACUUGGUGUGAAUUGCAGAAUCCCGUGAACCAUCGAGUCUUUGAACGCAAGUUGCGCCCGAAGCCGUCAGGCCGAGGGCACGCCUGCCUGGGCGUCACACGCCGUUGCCCCCCCGCGCCCCGCACCCAACGCUUUGGGAGCGACCGCGGGGCGGGCUGAUGAUGGGCUCCCGUGCGCUCCGCCGCGCGGUUGGCCCAAAUACCGAGUCCCCGGCGACGUGCGCCACGACGAUCGGUGGUUGAGAGACCUCUGUCGCAAGUCGUGCGCGCCCGUCGCGUCACGCGGGCUCGCAUAGCGCCUCGCGCCGCACCCGGUGCGGAGCUUUCAACGCGACCCCAGGUCAGGCGGGGUUACCCGCUGAAUUUAAGCAUAUCAAUAAGCGGAGGA
RNAcentral lists this unclassified non-coding RNA (412 nucleotides) under soil metagenome. Its description in RNAcentral is "partial contains 5.8S ribosomal RNA, internal transcribed spacer 2, and large subunit ribosomal RNA". The stretch from base 1 to 122 matches the Rfam family "5.8S ribosomal RNA", at positions 35 to 154 of the family's 154-position model. The record is from RNAcentral.